AAGUAGAAGUAUGGAGGGUGAGGCCUGCCCAAUGGUUGUAUCUAAAAACGGUUGAUAAAAGUUGACUUCAUAAGGACAAUUGAAUGGCCGCGGUAACACUGACCGUGAUAAUGUAGCGUAAUCAAUAGCCAAUUAAUUGUUGGCCAGUAUGAAUGGCGUCACGAAGGCCCCACUGUCUUAAGAGAAUUCCCAGUGAAAUUGAAUUCGUAGUGAAGAUGCUACGUCCAAUUUGUUAGACGAAAAGACCCCAUUGAGCUUUACUGGAGUCUUACAUUGCUCGGAUCAACUCUCGCCCCCCCCUUGGCGGGGGGGUCGAAUUUAAAUGGAUAGCUUAGAUUAUGUGGUGUCAUAACCGUCGAUCAAGUAGUCCUUACAGGAUUGCCCCCCCGAAGGUUGACCUAUUUGGGUGAAUGAAACCCCACUCUUCUUUGUUAAAUGAGCUAACCCUUUCUCCCUUAAAGGGGACAAUGUAAGUUGGACAGUUUGGUUGGGGCGACCGCCUUUUAAAGAGUAACGAAGGUGUGCUUAAGGUACAUUAUUAAUAACACAAGCCUGACUGCGAGGGGGACCCUCCGAGCAGACACCUAAAGUCUUCUCCCUUCCCCCCGAAGGUUAAAGACGAAUGGUGGGUUAUAGUGACCCGUUAAUUUAGAGUGGAAUAGUUAACGAUCAACGAAUAAAAGUUACCAUGGGGAUAACAGCGUAAUAUCGUUAGAGAGUUUACAUCGACGACGAUGUUUGCGACCUCGA
RNAcentral lists this ribosomal RNA (750 nucleotides) under Epizoanthus sp. 1 HK-2019. RNAcentral's name for it is "partial large subunit ribosomal RNA". It matches the Rfam family "Bacterial large subunit ribosomal RNA", at positions 1835 to 2529 of the family's 2925-position model. The record is from RNAcentral. Lineage: Eukaryota; Metazoa; Cnidaria; Anthozoa; Zoantharia; Epizoanthidae.